CCUACGGGGGGCUGCAGUGGGGAAUAUUGGACAAUGGGGGCAACCCUGAUCCAGCCAUGCCGCGUGUGUGAAGAAGGCCCUCGGGUUGUAAAGCACUUUCAGUGAGGAAGAACGCCUGGUGGUUAAUACCCAUCAGGAAAGACAUCACUCACAGAAGAAGCACCGGCUAACUCCGUGCCAGCAGCCGCGGUAAUACGGAGGGUGCGAGCGUUAAUCGGAAUUACUGGGCGUAAAGCGCGCGUAGGUGGCUUGAUAAGCCGGUUGUGAAAGCCCCGGGCUCAACCUGGGAACGGCAUCCGGAACUGGCAAGCUAGAGUGCAGGAGAGGAAGGUAGAAUUCCCGGUGUAGCGGUGAAAUGCGUAGAGAUCGGGAGGAAUACCAGUGGCGAAGGCGGCCUUCUGGACUGACACUGACACUGAGGUGCGAAAGCGUGGGUAGCAAACAGGAUUAGAUACCCUUGUAGUC
RNAcentral lists this ribosomal RNA (465 nucleotides) under Vreelandella stevensii. RNAcentral describes it as "partial 16S ribosomal RNA". It matches the Rfam family "Bacterial small subunit ribosomal RNA", at positions 338 to 795 of the family's 1533-position model. Lineage: Bacteria; Pseudomonadati; Pseudomonadota; Gammaproteobacteria; Oceanospirillales; Halomonadaceae. The record is from RNAcentral.